UAGGGAAUCUUCCGCAAUGGACGCAAGUCUGACGGAGCAACGCCGCGUGAGUGAAGAAGGAUUUCGGUUCGUAAAACUCUGUUGUUAGAGAAGAACAGCGCAUAGAGUAACUGUUAUGCGUGUGACGGUAUCUAACCAGAAAGCCACGGCUAACUACGUGCCAGCAGCCGCGGUAAUACGUAGGUGGCAAGCGUUGUCCGGAUUUAUUGGGCGUAAAGCGAGCGCAGGCGGUCAAUUAAGUCUGAUGUGAAAGCCCCCGGCUCAACCGGGGAGGGUCUUUGGAAACUGGUUGACUUGAGUGCAGAAGAGGAGAGUUGAAUUCCAUGUGUAGCGGUGAAAUGCGUAGAUAUAUGGAGGAACACCAGUGGCGAAGGCGACUCUCUGGUCUGUAACUGACGCGGAGGCUCGAAAGCGUGGGUAGCAAACAGG
RNAcentral lists this ribosomal RNA (429 nucleotides) under Bacteroidota bacterium. RNAcentral's name for it is "Bacteroidetes bacterium partial 16S ribosomal RNA". It matches the Rfam family "Bacterial small subunit ribosomal RNA", at positions 355 to 776 of the family's 1533-position model. The record is from RNAcentral. Lineage: Bacteria; Pseudomonadati; Bacteroidota.